UCUGCUCGCUAGAUGUAAGUUGG
RNAcentral lists this microRNA (23 nucleotides) under Drosophila ananassae. RNAcentral's name for it is "Dan-Novel-3_5p* (star (passenger))". The record is from RNAcentral. Lineage: Eukaryota; Metazoa; Arthropoda; Insecta; Diptera; Drosophilidae.